GUAUUCCUACGGGGGGCAGCAGUGAGGAAUAUUGGUCAAUGGGGGGAACCCUGAUCCAGCGACGCCGCGUGAGUGAAGAAGUAUUUCGGUAUGUAAAGCUCUGUCAGCAGGGAAGAAAGCAAUGACGGUACCUGACCAAGAAGCCCCGGCUAACUACGUGCCAGCAGCCGCGGUAAUACGUAGGGGGCAAGCGUUAUCCGGAAUUACUGGGUGUAAAGGGAGCGUAGACGGCUGUGCAAGUCUGGAGUGAAAGCCCGGGGCCCAACCCCGGGACUGCUUUGGAAACUGUGUAACUGGCGUACAGG
This 305-nucleotide ribosomal RNA is filed under the name uncultured bacterium. RNAcentral's name for it is "bacterial SSU rRNA". It matches the Rfam family "Bacterial small subunit ribosomal RNA", at positions 333 to 652 of the family's 1533-position model. The record is from RNAcentral.